CCUCCCCUUCCCUUCAUUGCGGCUUCGUCCGUGCGGAGCCACCUGUGAGUAAUUAAUUAGCCGGUGCUGGUUCUCGGCGCGCCGUGGCCCGGGGGCUGCCAGGUUGCUGUGUACCUGGCAAAUGUUCCCAGACUGAGAAUGGCAUGAUGUGGAGGGCACUGCAGUGAAAGUGUUAAAUGCCCCUUUCUUUGGAGACCUGCAAACGAAAAAGAAAUAGAAGCCAUUAAACCCACCUUGUUCAGAGAGAACAUUAACUCAGCACAACAUGGCACAGCAUAGUGUUGUCCUUGGAUUAUUCAUGAUGACUGUUUUAUCACUGUUGGAUGGAAGUUCAGCUUUCCUGUUAAAUCAGCGUCUGAAGGGAAGAUUUCAAAGAGACCGUAGAAACAUCCGCCCAAACAUCAUCCUUGUUCUUACUGAUGAUCAGGAUGUAGAACUUGGUUCUAUGCAGGUGAUGAAUAAAACCAGACGGAUCAUGGAGCAGGGAGGGGCCCAUUUCAUCAACGCCUUCGUGACGACGCCCAUGUGCUGCCCGUCGCGCUCCUCCGUCCUGACGGGCAAGUACGUCCACAACCACAACACCUACACCAACAACGAGAACUGCUCCUCUCCCUCCUGGCAGGCCCAGCACGAAAUAAGGACGUUUGCAGUGUACCUCAACAACACAGGCUACAGGACAGCUUUCUUUGGAAAGUACCUAAAUGAAUACAAUGGCUCCUAUGUGCCUCCUGGUUGGAAAGAAUGGGUUGGAUUGCUUAAAAACUCUCGAUUUUACAACUACACACUCUGUAGAAAUGGAGCGAAGGAGAAGCAUGGAUAUGACUACUCCAGGGAUUAUCUAACUGAUCUGAUUACCAAUGACAGUAUUACCUUCUUCAGACUCUCCAAGAAGAUGUAUCCUCACAGGCCUGUGCUGAUGGUCAUAAGCCACGCUGCUCCUCAUGGCCCUGAAGAUUCAGCCCCUCAGUACUCACAUCUCUUUCCUAAUGCCUCACAACACAUCACUCCCAGUUAUAACUAUGCCCCAAACCCAGACAAGCACUGGAUCAUGAGGUACACUGGCCCCAUGAAGCCCAUACACAUGGAGUUCACUAACAUGCUGCAGAGGAAGCGCCUGCAAACACUCAUGUCUGUGGAUGACUCGAUGGAGAUGAUUUACAACACGUUGGUUGAAACAGGAGAACUGGACAACACGUAUCUGAUAUACACAGCAGACCAUGGCUAUCAUAUUGGGCAGUUUGGGCUGGUGAAAGGGAAGUCCAUGCCCUAUGAGUUCGAUAUCAGAGUUCCCUUCUACGUCCGAGGCCCCAACGUCGAGGCCGGGUCCUUGAAUCCUCACAUCGUGUUGAAUAUUGAUCUGGCACCUACGAUUCUGGAUAUUGCUGGGUUGGAUAUUCCCUCUGACAUGGAUGGUAAAUCCAUUCUAAAGCUGCUGGAUUCAGAGAGACCAGUAAAUAGGUUCCACUUAAAGAAAAAGAUGAAGGUGUGGAGAGACUCGUUCCUUGUGGAAAGAGGUAAACUGCUGCAUAAGAGGGAGAAUGAGAAGGUAGAUGCCCAAGAAGAAAACUUUCUACCCAAAUACCAGCGUGUGAAAGACCUCUGUCAGCGAGCUGAGUAUCAAACAGCUUGUGAACAGCUUGGCCAGAAGUGGCAGUGUGUGGAAGAUGCCAGUGGAAAGCUCAAGCUGCACAAGUGCAAGGGAAUGGCCAACUUGGCAGCUGCAGGCAACCGCAAAGGCACCUCCAACCUUCUGCCCAAGUACUACAGCAGGAACAGGGAGGAGUGCAACUGUGAGGAGAAUGAAUACAAGCUGAGCCACGUUGGACAAAGGAAGAAACUCUUCUCCAAGAAAAAAUUCAAACCAAGCUACGUCCGGAGUCGCUCCGUGCGUUCCGUGUCUGUGGAGCUGGCUGGAGCUGUUUAUAACCUGGGCUUAGAGGAUGGAUACCAGCCCAUCUUCCCAAGGAACAUCUCCAAGCGUCACAAGGUGCAGAGGGCUGUUCUCCGUGAGGAGGAGGACAGAGACGUGGGGGAGUACAGUGGCACUGGUGGCAUUGCAGAGUACACAGCCCCUAACCUGAUCAAAGUGACCCACAGGUGUUACAUCCUGGAGAAUGACACUGUUCAGUGUGACACAGAUCUGUACAGGUCACUGCAAGCUUGGAAGGACCAUAAACUUCAUAUUGACCACGAGAUUGAAACCUUGCAAAAUAAAAUAAAAAACCUGAGGGAGGUGAGAGGUCAUCUAAAGAAGAAACGACCUGAGGAGUGUGAUUGUAACAAGAUAAGUUAUCAUUCAAAACACAAAACCAAGCUGAGGCACAAGGGAUCCAGUCUUCAUCCUUUCAAGAAAGCCCUCCAGGAGAAGGACAGGCUGUGGCUGCUGCGGGAGCAGAGGAGGAAGAAGAAGCUGCGCAAGCUGCUGAAGAGGAUCAAAAACAACGACACGUGCAGCAUGCCCGGCCUCACCUGCUUCACCCACGACAACCAGCACUGGCAAACUGCUCCCCUCUGGACACUGGGCCCUUUCUGUGCCUGUACCAGUGCCAACAACAACACGUACUGGUGUUUGAGGACAAUCAACGAGACCCACAACUUCCUCUUCUGUGAAUUUGCUACUGGAUUUCUGGAGUAUUUUGAUCUCAAUACUGAUCCAUAUCAGCUAAUUAAUGCAGUGAAUACGCUCGACAGAGAGGUUCUCAAUCAACUGCACGUCCAGCUCAUGGAACUCAGGAGCUGCAAAGGGUAUAAGCAAUGCAAUCCAAGAACUAGGAACAUGGAUCUAGGUAAGUGCCUCUCCUGUUGCACUCACAAACCCCCCAAAAAGGAAAUGGGGCUUGCUCUUACCAUUAUGAAACUUGAAUCAGCCAAAAGGAUUUUAGUAUUUCUUAGUACUGGUAAUGUCCUACUGAGCUGGUAACUGCAUGCUCAGAUUUUUGUAGGUGUUCAGUUUGUGUUAUGUGAUGUUUUUAAAAUUAAGAAUGACACUUAAAUCACUCAUCAGCCUAGUGAUGAGUGUUACAGAGAUGCAGAGGAUGAUGAGGAAAGAAAGAUACUGGUGAAAGAGGGAAAGAAUACCCUAAUAGCCACUAUCAAGCUCAUAGGCCAGUUCAAGUUGGAAGAGACUUGUGGAGUUGUGCAGGGUCAGAUGUGAGGGCAUGCCAGGUUACUCAGGGCAUCGGGUGAUCUGUUAUUAAGUCUUUUUUAAAAUUGUCUUACCUGAUACAGGCAAUCCCUGGUAACAUUGUUAAUUUUUCUUCACCUAGGACUUAAAGAUGGAAGCUACGAGCAGUACAGAGGACAACUGUGGGAAGGCUGGGAGGGCUAAUCUCCCCAACUGCUGCACCUCCAUGAGGAUACAAACUGGCCAGAACUUGAAUCCCUGUACAGACUAAAUGAAUUGUAACAUUAGCCUGAAGGACUGGAUAAACUUUGAGGCUGAAAUAGGUAGAACGUUUGCACUGGUGAGUGAGUUAAAUAGAUGCAGUGAAACUGUGGGAAAUGCUGUCAGAAAUACAGGUCUCUGAACUCCACUAUUGUACCUGCUUUUUGCUUUGGAUUAUACCUCACCUGCUUCACGAGGCAUUUUACUUCCAAGAAGACACAAGUAACGCUGAGCCAGGAAUUGAGAGCAGAGGAAGCACAGCCCCAUCCCAAAGAGCCAUUCCAGCGUUUACACACACAGCUGAGGGGAACUCCAAACCAUUGUCAGCUCAGCUUUCUCUUCAGUUGUCAGAGAAACACUUCAAAGCCAAGUAUAACUCUAAAGCAAGAUUUAGAAUCUUGGAUGCUUUUGCUUCUCCCUGGGGUGAAGGCAGUGGUUGAACAGAACUUUGAGCAGCACUGAGUGUUCUCAACACCACGACAUUUCUCCAGUCUCCUCUGAGGAUACAUUUUAGUUCCAUCUGUUUGUCCAUCCUACUGCCACCUCUACGAAGAUUAGAGAAAAUCUUCACUAACAGAUUUUUGGAGGGGUUGUGUAAAAAUAUUGCUCAAUAUACUGUUUGCAAAGCAAUUCCUUCAGGUUGUAAAGAAUUUUGUUAAUAAAAAGAGUGUAAUGCCCACGGCCCGUUUCUCAAAAUGUUACUUACUGUGGCUUAGGACAGUCAGAAUUCAUCCAUUUUUAGAAGUACUGAAAAAUUUCGGUAAAUGUACAUCUCAAAUUUUAACAAAAUCAGAUUUGUAUGAAGUUUUUUCUUUUUGUGGUAAUAGCCUGUUGUGUGUUCAAAACCAAAACUACUCCUUUGAGAAAGCAGCGUUUGCUCAGCAGUGUAACUUCUACUUUUAUUUUUUAAAAAAGGCAGCUCCGAGAAGUUCAAUACUUGCAGUCAAUAAAGAAUAAUCUAGUUAAUAGUUUAGUCUACAAAAAAAGUUGAAGUUCUGAAUGACAGUUACUGUUUAAAGGCUUUUAAAGGGAAAAAAACCCCUAUCAUUUUACUAAAGAAGCACAGUGUACAGAGUUAUUUGAGUAUUUUCAUAAGGACAUUAUUAAAUACGUUGUAGUACAGGCCAUUGUAGCACAGGCAUUAGUGGUGAGAUUUGUAUUUAUAAUCCAUGUUACUCUGCUACCUGUUUUAAAGGCACGUGCCCGAGGGUGCUCAUGGGGCAGGACUUGACCAACUGUGGCCUUCACUCCUAACAAAGAGGUACUUUCUUUUAAAACAGAAACUUAACUUGCUCUUUUAGAAAUGCAGUGUAAAAAAAAAAAAAGAAAAAAUACAGCAUGGAAAUUAUUUUGGAACCCUUCCUGGUUUUGCACAUAAGGAAAAUCAAGUGGAAUCAUAUCCAGGCAUGUAGAUCUCUGGUACCACACCCCCCUACUCAAAAAAUAGACUUGGAUUUAGGAACUAAGGAAAAAUCAAACAAACAAACAAAGAAAACUCCUCAUAAAACAAAAACCUGCUCAAAAAGCAGAAGUGGAGUCUUUGUAAAUGUGCUAUACAGCAAGACUGGGCUUGAGUAUUUGUAUUACAUGUGGUAAGUCAAAUAUACUUCCCAAAGUUUUCUUGCAAGCUUUUUUUAAUUAUGGAAGUAAAAUAUGAUUGUCUGUCUUAAUCUAGCCAUGGAUUUUCUUUGCAACUUGUUACAGCUUUCAUGGAUUAUUAGAAAUAUCUACUAGAUGAUGAGAUCCUGAAUCAAUACAAAUAAGUAAAAAAUGAAACACAUUUUUGCUGCUUCCCAGAGAAAAAUUUUAGCCAUCUGCUAAACUUUACAGAAAGAGGUUAGAUGUAAAAAAAUUGGCACUUACCUUUUUUUUGUGUGUUCAGCCUUUAGUCCUUGGCCAGCUGAGGUGGAAAUCCUGCAGGGCCCAGUGUUCCUGCUCCUGUUGAAAAAAAGUUACCUUGUUCCUUACCCAGACCCCUGAGCUGUGGGGUUGGUGGGGACACAAGAAGCAGCUGCUGUUUUGUGAAAGGUAAGUUGUUGCCAAACUGGGGAAAGCUGCCACCUCUUCACCUCUCAGCUCUUGUACAAACUGCAGUCUGAGUUGACAAAGCCACACAUCCCGGGUGCUCUCCAUGCUAAAUGGGUCCCAGCAGGGAAAGGUCGCAGUUGUUGCUCCCUCAGCUUUUGCAGCCAAUUAGGAGAAGAUGGAAACCAUUCUCUGCACAGUUUUCCUCAGUGGCAGCACCGACUUUUCUCUGACCUUUGCAAGAUACAGUCAUGAACCUUAAAGUAUUAGACAGCUAAUCAAGUUCUGAUUUUAAAUAGAAACCUUUAUUUACAUUAUUAUUAACAUCCAAACACAAAAGCCAGAAGGGCGGUAAUACCUUACAACCAACUCUUUUAUAAAUCAGUCCCCGUGAUUUUUUCUGUUUUGCAAAAUAAAGAUACAGAUAUUUCAAGCAAUACUUACAAUGUAAACUAAACUUAAAUGCAGUUCUCAAUACUGUAUGCCUUCUCCUGAGAAUUUUUUUAAAUAUUGCUCUCAGAAUUACAUGGUUUCAUACUUGCUGUAUCAUUCUGUCAUCUGGUAGCCUGCACAUAAAUUCUAAAAUAAAAGGUGUGCUAAUUGGUGCAACAUUCAAAUAAGUUUUGUCUUGUGACUGAAACGUGGUCUGGAUUUUCUAACUUUGAAAGCAGUAUUUUAGGCCAAGAAAUAAAAAGUAUUACAUAUGAGUUUUAUUAAUAACCACAUGAUUUCUGUGAUCAAAAGACAUGUAGUAAAACAACACAUUUAUGCAGCAGUGAUCAGAGGUGGCUGUACUAGCUAAUUGAUCUCUCAGUCUUGAAUAAUGUUAUACAGGUUGUUUUUUAAAAACAUUCAGAAAAAUCUGCUGCCACAGAACCAAAGCAAAACUGAUGGCAAUAACUAAAUGUCAGCAGAUUUCAAACUAGAUGUCCUAUGCAGGAUUAGUGCUGCCAGGAAAGAUGUCAUCAUCAAUGCUUUUUAAAAAUGCCCCCUCCCCCUUAAUCAAGUUUAAACUAAAAAUCUUUGGAUUCAGCAAAAGAAAAAAAAAAAAAGGUACAAUCUAAACACAGAUGAGAAAAU
RNA transcript from Pseudopipra pipra, 6490 nucleotides. It is a transcript of the gene named sulfatase 2, with no coding region annotated. The transcript is spliced from 21 exons. NCBI's taxonomy places the organism in Eukaryota, Metazoa, Chordata, Aves, Passeriformes, Pipridae. The record is from RefSeq and is a predicted model, not a curated record.